CAAAAGCCGAAGAAUGGCCCUGGCCCGUGGGUGGAGAAACUGAGGAGAGUUGGCGGACAUUACAAUGGCUCUCUCUGUCUCUCUAAUCCAAACGUGUAGCUAAACUAACCAAAACUACUCUCGCUUAUAAGUUCAUCUCCUCUUUUCCUCGCACAAAAAUCUUUUGUUUCUCCCGGUUAUCGCCUCCUCCUCUCCCAUGGAGUCCUCUGUUGCUCUCCAAUCCUUUCACUGUAAUGCUCUUGCUUCCCUCUCUGUCUGUGUUCUGUGUGUAAAUUUUGCUGAGAUCUGUUAUGUUUUGGUGAUUUUGAUUCCUUCUGCUUCUGCUCCAGGUAAGUUGUACGGCCAGCGCUUGACUGUUUGCCGGAAAUUCAUUUCUUAUCCGGUGAAGCGAAAUGUAUCCGUCGUCUCGUGUGUAAGGGCGCCUGAAGCUGCUGCUGCAACGGCCAAAUCUGAUGGUGAGUUAGUUAGUUAGUUUGUUUGUUUUGCUGGUGCUUGUGGUUAGUGAAGCUAGAUUUGAGGUUAUUAAGCUUUACGGUUGUGUGGAUGGAAAUGAUGAGGUAGUUUCUUCUUCAGCUGGUGCGUUGGAGAAGAAUUCUUCGCGAAGUGCUACUUUUCCUAAUGGAUUUGAAGUGAGUGCUCGUCUUUUUAGACGUUUUGAAGUCUGCCUGAUACUUAUAUAGAAUCUUUUAGUAGUAAAUUUUAUGUUGUUGCAACUGGAAAUUUUUAGCGUUUGCUGGUUUUAUGCAUAGCAGCAUCAAUGCAAGUUGUUGAAAUUUUAUUGACUCCAGAAUCUCUGUGUAUUGCUGUUGAGUGUUUCAGGCUCUUCAUCCUAAAAUUAUUGUAAAUGCCGAUUAUUUGGGUUUAGCAAGAAUUUGAAAUUCGCCAUUGGAUUGGGAAUUCCCAUUUGUAGUUUGUGAAAUAUGUGCUUAUCUAUUACAUAAUAGUUUGUUCAGAUUGUUAAGGUUAUGGUGGACUGAGUCCUGACGACUAAACUUGGGAAACAUAACAUAUUAUCAUGUCAACUAAUGAAUUCCUGUAAUGAUGACCCAAGAAUGCAUGAUAUUAACAAUAAUUUUACCCUGUUAAGAAACUAUGUCCUAGCAAACAAAUCAGCGUUCCAAAUUUGGACAUUUUGAUUAUCAUUAUUAUCAUUUUUAUAUUUAAAUAUCAAACUAGAGCAACUAACUUUGAGGUUUCUUAGAAACAGAGAGAACCUGAGGGAUGAGGGUGGUGCAUGAAAUGAUUUCUGCAACGACGGUUUGAAAGUUUGUCUUGUUUAUUAUGCUAAUAAUUUGCCCCCUUUCCUUGAGAUUGCUUUGUUUCAACUCUUUAUUUUAGUUGUUUGACAUUGAUUACUGUCAUUUCAUUUUGAUUAUUGCUUACUCUGAUUUGAAACAUAUCAACCUUGCUAACUGUUUCCAAAUCAUCAGGCAUUGGUACUCGAGGUCUGUGAUGAGACGGAGGUUGCUGAACUGAAACUCAAGGUUGGGGAUUUUGAAAUGCAUUUGCGCCGCAAUGUUGGGGCUACAAAAGCUCCCAUGUCCAACAUUUCACCUACAGAACCACCACCGAUCCCAACUAAGCCAAUGGAUAUAUCAGCUUCUGUUGCCCCACCAUCACCACCCAAAACCUCUACUGAAAAAACCACUCCUUUUACAAAUGUCUCAUUUGGGAAGUCAUCCAAAUUAGCUGCCUUAGAGGCGUCUGGAGCUACUGGAUAUGUUCUAGUUGCUUCUCCGACGGUUGGCUCAUUCCGAAGAAACAGAACAGUGAAAGGAAAAAGGCAACCUCCCAUCUUUAAAGAGGGUGAUAUAAUUAAAGAAGGACAGGUGAUAGGAUAUUUGGAUCAAUUUGGUACUGAACUUCCUGUAAAGUCAGAUGUGGCUGGAGAAGUCUUAAAGCUCCUCUUCAAUGAUGGAGAUGCUGUUGGUUAUGGAGACCCUCUUAUUGCUGUCUUGCCAUCGUUUCAUGGCAUCAACACGUGAGCUUUCUGCCUGUCUCCAGAUCUUGACUCUGUUCUUGGAAAGAUCUGAAGUAAUGCAGAUUGUUUUCCCUAUAGUUCUUUUGGUCUUUCCAUCCUCUACUCACUGAUUGUGCAAUUGGAAGACAUACAUUUUGUGGUGAUUGCUACUUUGGCUUUGUUUGUUAGUUUUAUUGACUAUAUCUGGAAAAAUAAUUGUUUAAACAUUGUAGUUUGGGGAAAGUUUGAUAUUUGUACUAGAUAUUAUCUUUGUAUACUAGUGAAGCUAUAGAUAUCUGUUCCUUGUUGGGGCAAAUUGUAUUUCUGAAAAACCGUUAGUGUUCGUUGAAAUGAACAUUUGGGUCAUUUCUGACGAUUCAAUUUAUG
Molecule: unclassified non-coding RNA, 2347 nt
Filed under: Hevea brasiliensis (rubber tree)
Lineage: Eukaryota; Viridiplantae; Streptophyta; Magnoliopsida; Malpighiales; Euphorbiaceae
Source: RNAcentral